GGGGGGAGUUUCAGUGUUUUCCAUUGAUGUGCACGAAAAUUAAAACAAGAAGAAUGCCGGCUCAUUGUGCGGCAUACAGUUGCACACUACAUCGGACGAUCAAGACAAGGAAACUUGGAAUAACUUUCCACAGGGUGGGGAAAAUGUUGCUGUGGCCCAUUACAUGGUGAGCCAGAGAGGAACAGGCCGACAUUCCCACAUCACUGGACGCAGUGUACAUAAUCAAAGAAUUGAAAGAUUAUGGCGAGAUGUGUAUGGAAAUGUCCUUGACUUGUUCCACACACUGUUUCUCAAUUUGGAAGUGGAAGGGUUUCUAAACCCUGAAAAUGAACUGGAGUUAUUCACUCUCCACUGGACCUACGUCCCACAGCUGCAGCAGCAUCUUCAGGCAUUCAAGGAAGCCUGGACUCACCACAGUUUGAGGACAAAGAGAGGGCAAUCCCCCAUGCAACGGUGGCUUAGUCAGCCACGUGAGGGAAAUGCUGCUGAUCCAGUUGAGGUUGCUGCUGAUUAUGGGAUAGACUGGACAGGACCUCACACCCCAUACCCAGAAGGCGUCACUGUACCUGAUGCACAACUACCCCGGCAGCUUACACAGGCUGAAGUUACAUCAUUGCCUGAUCCGGCCGUCCCUUUUUCUGCUGCACUACGGGCAUACAUGGAUACAGUGUAUAUUCUUAAGGACAUUUUUCAACAAACCUAGACAUAUCACAACUCACCUUAACAGAAUCAGAAUGAAACGAACAAGACUCAAAAGAAUGCUGCAAAUUUUUGUUGCAUAAGUUGUGAAUUUCAAAUAAAUGCCUUUGAAAACAACAAUGUACAAAGACACAGCAAAGGGAUAUAAAACUGCUUUUAUUGCAUGCUGAAUAGUUUGACAGCUUUUAAAAGCAUUAGAACAAUGUGCCAAUAAAAAGGUUUUUUAAUAGAACUGACAA
Molecule: long non-coding RNA, 938 nt
Organism: Acanthochromis polyacanthus (spiny chromis)
Lineage: Eukaryota; Metazoa; Chordata; Actinopteri; Pomacentridae
Exons: 4
Source: RefSeq, a predicted model, not a curated record